This is a long non-coding RNA of Malus domestica (apple), 945 nucleotides long. RefSeq lists it as uncharacterized. The record is from RefSeq and is a predicted model, not a curated record. NCBI's taxonomy places the organism in Eukaryota, Viridiplantae, Streptophyta, Magnoliopsida, Rosales, Rosaceae.
AAAGAAAAAAAUAAUAAAAAAAGUACUGUUAAAUCUACUUUUUAUUUUUCCACUCACAUUUUAAUGAAAAUGUUAAAUCCCUAAUUGUUUCUCUCCCUCACCGCUUGGUCCUCCGUUUCUCUCUCCCCCAUUUUUCUCUCUGUUCCGUUUCAUCUCUCUCCUGACUUCUCCACCGUCGGCUACGUUGUUUCUUUCCUUCUCUCUCUCGGAAACCAGUCUCAAAUUAUUUGAAUCUCUCCCUCUCUCGACCACUCUCUCUCUCACUCUUCCCCAACCCAAAUCUUCUGUCACCUGCAAAUCCAAAUUGCAUAGCUGAAAUAACAAAAUCUCUCCUCACCCAAUUUCCCCUUUUACCCUCUUUGUCUAUUUCUGAUUUCCAUUUGCUUCCACUGUCAAUUUUGUACUCGGAAUUAAUUUCGAAUUAAUCAAUUUUCGAGCUAGGGUUCAUUUUUUUAUUUGGAAAAAAAAAAGAUUGGUUGCUAAUUCAUUUAUAUAUUUGGGCUGAUUAAUUAAUGGAGUCGAGUUUUGAUCGGUGGGAGAAAGAUCCAUUAUUUGGGCUGAUUAAAUAUGUUCAUCAGUUUGUGGAUUUUUCCAACAAAUUUUAAACUUUUUGACGUUUUGUUGCAAUUUUGCAUCUUUAAUUUGAUAGCUUCCAAAUUUGAAUCAAAUCUCGGCUUUAGGAGAGCAAUUUAAGAGAGAGAGAGAGGACAGGGGAAUCAGAAUCUUGGUUCGAUGCUGAGAAGCUCACCGUUGAAUUGAUGAAGCAGAUCUCUUGCUCUCUACAACUCUCCAACAAAACCAAUGACUAUGUAGCUUUCAAGGUUUUUAAUUUUCCCCCUUUUUCAGUUAAUUUCUGGAUUUGUUCUAUUUGGACAUUUGAGUUGUGGUGUAUAAAAGUUAUUUUAGGGAUUAUAGGGGAUGGAAAAUAAGAUGUUAAUUUUUUAA